ACUCAAAUGAAUUGACGGGGGCUCACACAAGCGGUGGAGCAUGUGGCUUAAUUCGAAGCAACGCGAAGAACCUUAUCCUGGGUUUGACAUGUAUGGAUUAGUCACCAGAAACGGUGAUGACACUCUUGUAGUGGAACAUACACAGGUGCUGCAUGGCUGUCGUCAGCUCGUGCUGUGAAGUGUCGGGUUAAGUCCCUUAACGAGCGAAACCCCUAUCACUAGUUGCGAACAGGUCAAGCUGCGGACUCUAGUGAGACUGCCGGUGUUAAACCGGACGAAGGUGGGGAUGACGUCAAGUCCUCAUGGCCUUUAUGCCCAGGGCUGCACACGUGCUACAAUGGUGCGAACAGAACGAUGCAAGACCGCAAGGUGGAGCAAAUCGCUUAAAUCGCACCCCAGUUCGGAUUGGAGGCUGCAACCCGCCUCCAUGAAGUCGGAAUCGCUAGUAAUCGCGGAUCAGCUACGCCGCGGUGAAUACGUUCCUGAGCCUUGUACACACCGCCCGU
Molecule: ribosomal RNA, 506 nt
Filed under: uncultured bacterium
Lineage: Bacteria
Description: partial 16S ribosomal RNA
Rfam family: Bacterial small subunit ribosomal RNA
Source: RNAcentral